AAGUGACAUGUCAGAGCUGCGAUUGCCUUCAGUAGUCCAGUUUUAAGUCCAAAGCCUUAAUCGUUCUUUCUGGAUACCCAGUACCUUAUAAUGCAGCCUUUUUGAGAUGAUCAGAUUACACUGGAGAGAAUUGCUGAGUGUAAAUAGUGGUGAAUUAUUCAAUUACCCAUCAUUAAUCUAUUGAACGAUAACCUCAAGAUAGAAAAUUCAAGGAAUUCUUCUAUGUAUUAAGAGCAUUAAAAUCCUCCUUUUCAACAACUCUUUCAGGGCCAGUCCUGAGAUCUUCCCGUGUCUCCUCAAGAUCUGCCUAUUCCCAGCCUUUAAUCCCAAUUGGAUGCUUCACAUCGGUCC
Molecule: long non-coding RNA, 351 nt
Filed under: Capra hircus (goat)
Lineage: Eukaryota; Metazoa; Chordata; Mammalia; Artiodactyla; Bovidae
Description: lncRNA (ENSCHIG00010030313.1)
Source: RNAcentral